GGGUCCAUAGCUCAAUGGUUAGAGCAGUCGGCUCAUAACCGAUCGGUUGUAGGUUCGAGUCCUACUGGACCCA
This 73-nucleotide transfer RNA is filed under the name Chloroflexota bacterium. RNAcentral describes it as "Chloroflexi bacterium tRNA-Ile". It matches the Rfam family "tRNA". From Rfam's summary of the family: Transfer RNA (tRNA) molecules are approximately 80 nucleotides in length. Their secondary structure includes four short double-helical elements and three loops (D, anti-codon, and T loops). Further hydrogen bonds mediate the characteristic L-shaped molecular structure. tRNAs have two regions of fundamental functional importance: the anti-codon, which is responsible for specific mRNA codon recognition, and the 3' end, to which the tRNAs corresponding amino acid is attached (by aminoacyl-tRNA synthetases). tRNAs cope with the degeneracy of the genetic code in two manners: having more than one tRNA (with a specific anti-codon) for a particular amino acid; and 'wobble' base-pairing, i.e. permitting non-standard base-pairing at the 3rd anti-codon position. Lineage: Bacteria; Bacillati; Chloroflexota. The record is from RNAcentral.